UGAGAGCUGCCUGAAUUGGAGGCGCAGGUC
RNAcentral lists this non-coding RNA (30 nucleotides) under Homo sapiens (human). The record is from RNAcentral. Lineage: Eukaryota; Metazoa; Chordata; Mammalia; Primates; Hominidae.